UAAAGUGAGGGCCAGGGGGGGGUGGAAGACGUAGGACGAAGGCGUUGUGCGGGGGUACUGGGCGUAAAGGGUGGGUAGGCGGUUGUUUAAGUUGUGUGUGAAAGCUCCCGGAGCAACCGGGAGGGUGCGCCGAAUACUGAAUGACUUGGAGUGCGGGAGAGGAAAGUGGAAUUCCUGGUGUAGCGGUGAAAUGCGUAGAUAUCAGGAGGAACACCGGUGGUGUAGACGGCUUUCUGGACCGUAACUGACGCUGAGACACGAAAGCGUGGGUAGCAAACAGGAUUAGAUACCCUAGUAGUC
Molecule: ribosomal RNA, 300 nt
Rfam family: Bacterial small subunit ribosomal RNA (bases 56-300)